AAACAUCAUGCCUCCUCCUCCUGUCUUCUCUCUUAUCUCUUCUCUCCCCUCUCCCUCACUGCUGAGCCACGAAACCACCAACAAGUAGCCCAGCUGCGGCAGCAACCGGUCUCCCACAACACCACUGGUCUUCCCUCUCUCCUCCUUGUGAUGCAGCUGCUUCUUUCCCCUCCAAACAGCCACCGCAGCAGUAGCUUAGGGUGUUGCAUUUGUUGCGCGUGCCGCCAGCCACAGUGGCCAGUUUUGGAGUCCUCUCUCCAAUCGAUUUGGUCUCGUGCCACCACUACCACAACCUUAACUUACCUCUUUCCCCUUUUUGCUAGUUUUAAUUUUGUUUUCAGUUCAUAAGAGGAAAGUAGAACCUUAGUUGGGUGAAUUUUGUAACUUUUGGUCGUGCAGUGACGCUUACAGCCUUAGGUCUGAUGUCGAGCAGCAGGAGGAUCAUACACAGGCGUGGCAGGUAUUGGAGCUUCUUUCACAUUGCAUUGCAUUGGGGGAGAGUGAUGAGGGCGAAGCAUAACCCGUGUCAUACCGUUAUCUUUCGAUUUUGUAGCUCUUGUUUAUCUUUUGUAAACUUUGGUUGUAUACAUUUUGUUAUGAGGCCUUGUGUACUCCUUUGUA
Molecule: long non-coding RNA, 621 nt
Organism: Amaranthus tricolor (Joseph's coat)
Lineage: Eukaryota; Viridiplantae; Streptophyta; Magnoliopsida; Caryophyllales; Amaranthaceae
Exons: 3
Source: RefSeq, a predicted model, not a curated record